Glycine soja is the source of this 1208-nucleotide RNA transcript. It is a transcript of the gene named nicotinamidase 2-like, with no coding region annotated. The transcript is spliced from 2 exons. The record is from RefSeq and is a predicted model, not a curated record. Lineage: Eukaryota; Viridiplantae; Streptophyta; Magnoliopsida; Fabales; Fabaceae.
GGAUGGGACAAAAGUGAGCCCAUGAACUAAAUUCUCCACCUUAUCCUGUUGAAUUUAGGCUAUGCUAGUGUGAAAAUUCCAUAUUAUGCAAUACAUAAUUAUUUGUUCUUUGUUAGCACUGUUGAAAUUUCUAAUCCGCAGUAUCUAAAGUAUGUCUCCAACAGUCACUCACAAAUGUCCUCUUCUCUGAAACGCUGCACAUCCUACACCAAAUACGAGAUCAGAAAGCGAAACCCUGAACCAAAAUCAUGUGCCCUAUUGGUAAUCGACGUGCAAAACCACUUCUCAUCCAUGGCCACCCCAAUCCUCCAUAACCUCAACACCACCAUCUCCCUCUGCCGCCGCGCCUCCAUCCCCGUCAUCUUCACUCGCCACUGCCACAAGUCACCCUCCGACGCCGGCAUGCUGGAGGAGUGGUGGUCCGGGGACCUCAUCGUCGACGGCACGGCGGAGGCCGAGCUCCUGGAGGCUCUGGACCGGAAAAGCAGCGACCUUGUGGUGGAGAAGAGCACCUACAGCGCGUUCAGGAGCACUGGCUUGGAAGAGAAGUUGGUGGAGAUGGGUGUGAAGGAGGUCAUAGUGACAGGUGUCAUGACCAACCUGUGCUGCGAAACGACGUCGCGUGAGGCGUUCGUGAGAGGGUUUAGGGUUUUCUUCUCCGCGGACGCCACUGCCACCUCUGACGUGGAGCUUCACGAGGCCGCUUUGAAGAACUUGGCUUAUGGUUUUGCUUACUUGGUUGAUUGCCAGAGGCUUCAACAUGCCCUCUCUGGUGCCAAGUGAAUUCAUCAACCGUGUGUUAAUUGGACGAACAAUUUUGAGAGGAGUACGCUGCUCUUUGAUCUACCUGCAUUUCUUCUCUAAUCAGAUUUAGGUCGAAUGUUGUUCGCGGUCAUGUUGAGGAAAUUGACAAGGCAAUUAGUGAGUAUUCUUAGGAAAUGGGCAUCAAGUCGAUUUACUAGUCUAUGUAGUAGCAGGUUUUUAUAGUUUUUGGAUUAUUAGAAGCACAACUAUGGGUUUUUGUGAUGUAUGUUGUCUAAUCAAAUCCUUCAAGGAUGGUAUUGUAGGAUUUGGAUUUCAACUGCCCGGUUACCAAUGCAUGUAAAGUGAUUAAUUAUACAUUCAUCAUCGUCAUAGUACACCAAUAUAGGGAGAAUUUAUUGUAUGAGAAUGAUUAUCUUAUCUUAAAAUGAAAAUGAUUAAUUUUA